Molecule: ribosomal RNA, 253 nt
Filed under: uncultured bacterium
Lineage: Bacteria
Description: partial 16S ribosomal RNA
Rfam family: Bacterial small subunit ribosomal RNA
Source: RNAcentral
GACGAAGGGGGCAAGCGUUGUUCGGAAUUACUGGGCGUAAAGGGCGCGUAGGCGGUUCUUUAAGUCAGGCGUGAAAGCCCUGGGCUCAACCUGGGAGUGGCGCUUGAUACUGGAGGACUAGAGAGUGGGAGAGGUUGGUGGAAUUCCCAGUGUAGAGGUGAAAUUCGUAGAUAUUGGGAAGAACACCGGUGGCGAAGGCGGCCAACUGGACCAUUUCUGACGCUGAGGCACGAAAGCCAAGGGAGCAAACAGG